Molecule: ribosomal RNA, 245 nt
Filed under: uncultured Actinomycetales bacterium
Lineage: Bacteria; Bacillati; Actinomycetota; Actinomycetes; Actinomycetales
Description: partial 16S ribosomal RNA
Rfam family: Bacterial small subunit ribosomal RNA
Source: RNAcentral
UGCUCGAGUGGCGAACGGGUGAGUAACACGUGAGUAACCUGCCCUUGACUUUGGGAUAACUUCAGGAAACUGGGGCUAAUACCGGAUAGGAGCUCCUGCUGCAUGGUGGGGGUUGGAAAGUUUCGGCGGUUGGGGAUGGACUCGCGGCUUAUCAGCUUGUUGGUGGGGUAGUGGCUUACCAAGGCUUUGACGGGUAGCCGGCCUGAGAGGGUGACCGGCCACACUGGGACUGAGAUACGGCCCAG